This 491-nucleotide ribosomal RNA is filed under the name uncultured bacterium. RNAcentral's name for it is "partial 16S ribosomal RNA". It matches the Rfam family "Bacterial small subunit ribosomal RNA", at positions 29 to 507 of the family's 1533-position model. The record is from RNAcentral.
AGUGAACGCUGGCGGUAGGCCUAACACAUGCCAGUCGAACGGCAGCACAGUAAGAGCUUGCUCUUACGGGUGGCGAGUGGCGGACGGGUGAGGAAUACAUCGGAAUCUACUUUUUCGUGGGGGAUAACGUAGGGAAACUUACGCUAAUACCGCAUACGACCUACGGGUGAAAGCAGGGGAUCUUCGGACCUUGCGCGAUUGAAUGAGCCGAUGUCGGAUUAGCUAGUUGGCGGGGUAAAGGCCCACCAAGGCGACGAUCCGUAGCUGGUCUGAGAGGAUGAUCAGCAACACUGGAACUGGGACACGGUCCAGACUCCAACGGAAGGCAGCGGUGGGAAAUAUUGGCCAAGGGGCGCAGGCCGAAUCCAGCCAUACCGCGUGGUUGAAGAAGGCCUUCGGUUGGUAAAGCCCUUUUUUUGGAAAGAAAAGCAGCAGGUUAAUACCCCGCUGUUCUGACGGUACCCAAAGAAUAAGCACCGGCUAACUUCGUG